Molecule: ribosomal RNA, 557 nt
Filed under: uncultured bacterium
Lineage: Bacteria
Description: bacterial SSU rRNA
Rfam family: Bacterial small subunit ribosomal RNA
Source: RNAcentral
ACGGGUGAGUAACGCGUGGGAAUCUACCCAUCUCUACGGAAUAACGCAUGGAAACGUGUGCUAAUACCGUAUACGUCCUUCGGGAGAAAGAUUUAUCGGAGAUGGAUGAGCCCGCGUUGGAUUAGCUAGUUGGUGGGGUAAAGGCCUACCAAGGCGACGAUCCAUAGCUGGUCUGAGAGGAUGAUCAGCCACACUGGGACUGAGACACGGCCCAGACUCCUACGGGAGGCAGCAGUGGGGAAUAUUGGACAAUGGGCGCAAGCCUGAUCCAGCCAUGCCGCGUGAGUGAUGAAGGCCCUAGGGUUGUAAAGCUCUUUCACCGGUGAAGAUAAUGACGGUAACCGGAGAAGAAGCCUCGGCUAACUUCGUGCCAGCAGCCGCGGUAAUACGAAGGGGGCUAGCGUUGUUCGGAUUUACUGGGCGUAAAGCGCACGUAGGCGGACUAUUAAGUCAGGGGUGAAAUCCCGGGGCUCAACCCCGGAACUGCCUUUGAUACUGGUAGUCUUGAGUUCGAGAGAGGUGAGUGGAAUUCCGAGUGUAGAGGUGAAAUUCGUAGA